UACGUAGGGUGCAAGCGUUGUCCGGAAUUAUUGGGCGUAAAGAGCGUGUAGGCGGCCAGGUAGGUCCGUUGUGAAAACUGGAGGCUUAACCUCCAGCUGUCGAUGGAAACCAUCUGGCUAGAGUCCGGAAGAGGAGAGUGGAAUUCCUGGUGUAGCGGUGAAAUGCGCAGAUAUCAGGAAGAACACCCGUGGCGAAGGCGGCUCUCUGGGACGGUACUGACGCUGAGACGCGAAAGCGUGGGGAGCGAACAGG
RNAcentral lists this ribosomal RNA (253 nucleotides) under uncultured bacterium. Its description in RNAcentral is "partial 16S ribosomal RNA". It matches the Rfam family "Bacterial small subunit ribosomal RNA", at positions 524 to 776 of the family's 1533-position model. The record is from RNAcentral.